Molecule: long non-coding RNA, 1336 nt
Organism: Sipha flava (yellow sugarcane aphid)
Lineage: Eukaryota; Metazoa; Arthropoda; Insecta; Hemiptera; Aphididae
Exons: 3
Source: RefSeq, a predicted model, not a curated record
UCAAAUUUUACUAUACAAUCGACACUGUCAAUAUAUUUUGAUAAAAUAUUAGCUGAUAGGUCACACAGUGCCAUUCAAAUCUACAAAUCUUAUACCCAUACUCUUUUUUUUCUAAAUUGAUUAUCAUAGACUAUAAUUAUUCAAAACCGGCACAAAAAUGGUAAUGCAGUAAAUGUUUCCAAGAUUUUAUACAAUAACAUUGUAAACUAGCAUGAUAAACUAUCUAUUAAACAAAGCAUCAACUGGUUAUAUUACUCUAUCCAAAUUGUUGAAAAUCUUAAAUGCAUAUAUUUGAAUAAUGUUAUUCAGUUUUAUAACGUGUGUGGAAUUGAAACACUGACAUUUUAUGGAAACGCGUGGCUUUGAUAACCAUCGGUCGGGUAAAUAACCGAGUGUAAAAGUGUAUCUUGGAGUGGGUAGGUACUGGGCCUAUAGAACUCAUGUAAUUCCUCACCAACUAUUAACAAGCAUAUUAGACAUAGUCCGUUCUAAUAUUCAUUCGUAAUAUAGGUACCUACAAUUACGCGUCAAACAGUACUACUGUUCUAAUACUAUUGAAAAUUAAUUUGUAAAGGUAUGCGAUUAAGAAAUAUAUUUAUUUAUCUUCAAAUGGAUAAGUCUAGUUACAAACGCCCAAUGAUCAGAGACGUAAAGAAAUUUUGAAAAAAGAAUAUCAAGAAUUAUGAUAAAUAUGAAGCUUGAUAGUACAAAUAGAAGAAACUUCGUAUUUUUACAAGAUUUCAAUGGCGAAUAUACAAAUACUUCAGUCUUUGACAUUUUUGUAAGUUAACAGGACAGAUAUUUUAUACCUAUAUUAUUAUUUAUUAGAAUACAUUUGAAAGUAAAGAUUAAUCAUAACAUUUGCAAAUUAACUUGGAGCAAAGCUUGAUAAGCUAAAUAUCGGCCAGCGGAAGAAACCAGUUUUGCAAUGUCCAUUAGAGAAAAAAAACCGGCUAGCAGAACGAAAGGUGUUGCUGUAAUUGGGGAUAGAACAGUUUCUGCACAAGACCUUUCUCUCAUAAGCCGAAUUAUGUGUACUACUUAUUUGUUUAUUUUAAGGGUUCCUAUAAAAAAUAAACUAAACAUUUUAACGUCAUAAUACCGGACACAAUUAAUUUGAUAAAUCCUAAAUAUACUAUGUUACUAUGUUAGGCAUUUAUAAUUUUUGGAUAGGUCAUUUGGGUAUAUAGAGACAAAGCCAACAAAUGCUUCAAAAAACCAAUCACGAGUUUUAAUACACUAAAAAACAUUUUCAAUCAAUACACCUAACUGUAUACCUAAUGGAUUAGCAUAGGCCUUAAACUUCCAGGGAUUAAUUUUAAAUCUAAUGAGCAUA